AUUAAACGCUGGCGGCGUGGAUUAGGCAUGCAAGUCGAACGGUAGGAUACCUUCGGGUAUCUGAGAGUGGCGAACGGGUGAGUAACACGUAGGUGAUCUACCCUCAAGAUUGGGACAACCCAGGGAAACUUGGGCUAAUACCGGAUGAAAGCAGCAGUGAUGUUGUUUGAAAGGUGGCGUAAGCUGCCGUUUGGGGAUGAGCCUGCGCUCUAUUAGUUAGUUGGCGGGGUAAAGGCCCACCAAGGCGAUGAUAGAUAGGCGGCCUUAACGGGUGGUCGCCCACACUGGGAUUGAGAUACGGCCCAGACUCCUACGGGAGGCAGCAGUCGAGAAUAGUCUACAAUGGCCGAAAGGCUGAUAGUGCGACGCCGCGUGAACGAAGAAGCCCUUCGGGGUGUAAAGUUCUUUUAUAUGUGAGCAGUGCUUUCUAUGUGAACAGCAUGGGGAGAGAGAUAUUAGCAUAUGAAUAAGCAACGGCUAACUCCGUGCCAGCAGCCG
This 498-nucleotide ribosomal RNA is filed under the name uncultured bacterium. Its description in RNAcentral is "bacterial SSU rRNA". It matches the Rfam family "Bacterial small subunit ribosomal RNA", at positions 30 to 517 of the family's 1533-position model. The record is from RNAcentral.